RNAcentral lists this ribosomal RNA (250 nucleotides) under Escherichia coli. RNAcentral's name for it is "partial 16S ribosomal RNA". It matches the Rfam family "Bacterial small subunit ribosomal RNA", at positions 983 to 1233 of the family's 1533-position model. Lineage: Bacteria; Pseudomonadati; Pseudomonadota; Gammaproteobacteria; Enterobacterales; Enterobacteriaceae. The record is from RNAcentral.
GACAUCCACGAAAGUUUUCAGAGAUGUGAAUGUGACUUCGGGAACCGUGAGACAGGAGCUGCAUAGCUGUCGUCAGCUCGUGUUGUGAAAUGUUGGGUUAAGGCCCGCAACGAGCGCAACCCUUAUCCUUUGUUGCCAGAGGUCCGGCCGGGAACUCAAAGGAGACGGCAAGUUAUAAACUGGAGGAAGGUGGGCAUGACGUCAAGUCAUCAUGGCCCUUACGACCAGGGCUACACACGUUCUACAAUGG